GACGAACGCUGGCGGCGUGCCUAAUACAUGCAAGUCGAACGAACCGCGACUAAGUGCUUGCACUAAGUCAAGGUGAGUGGCGAACGGGUGAGUAACACGUGGGUAACCUACCUCAUAGUGGGGGAUAACAGUCGGAAACGACUGCUAAUACCGCAUAGGACAUAGGAUCACAUGAUCCAGUGAGGAAAGGUGGCGCAAGCUAUCGCUAAGAGAUGGACCCGCGGUGCAUUAGCUAGUUGGUAGGGUAAAGGCCUACCAAGGCGAUGAUGCAUAGCCGACCUGAGAGGGUGAUCGGCCACAUUGGGACUGAGACACGGCCCAAACUCCUACGGGAGGCCGCAGUAGGGAAUCUUCCGCAAUGGACGCAAGUCUGACGGAGCAACGCCGCGUGAGUGAAGAAGGUCUUCGGAUCGUAAAGCUCUGUUGUUAGAGAAGAACAGCGCAUAGAGUAACUGCUAUGCGUGUGACGGUAGCUAACCAGAAAGCCACGGCUAACUACGUG
Molecule: ribosomal RNA, 502 nt
Filed under: uncultured bacterium
Lineage: Bacteria
Description: partial 16S ribosomal RNA
Rfam family: Bacterial small subunit ribosomal RNA
Source: RNAcentral